RNAcentral lists this ribosomal RNA (799 nucleotides) under uncultured bacterium. RNAcentral describes it as "bacterial SSU rRNA". It matches the Rfam family "Bacterial small subunit ribosomal RNA", at positions 8 to 796 of the family's 1533-position model. The record is from RNAcentral.
AGAGUUUGAUCAUGGCUCAGGAUGAACGCUAGCGGCAGGCUUAAUACAUGCAAGUCGAGGGGCAGCGCGGGUAGCAAUACCUGGCGGCGACCGGCAAAACGGGUGCGGAACACGUACGCAACCUUCCCCGAAACUGGUGAAUAGCCCUCCGAAAGGAGGAUUAAUACACCGUAACAUAAUGAAACGGCAUCGUUUUAUUAUUAUAGACAGCAAUGUCGGUUUUGGAUGGGCGUGCGCCUGAUUAGGUAGUUGGCGGGGUAACGGCCCACCAAGCCUACGAUCAGUAACUGGUGUGAGAGCACGACCAGUCACACGGGCACUGAGACACGGGCCCGACUCCUACGGGAGGCAGCAGUAAGGAAUAUUGGUCAAUGGACGCAAGUCUGAACCAGCCAUGCCGCGUGAAGGAUGAAGGCCCUCUGGGUUGUAAACUUCUUUUAUAGGGGACGAAAAAAGGGAAUUCUUUCUCACUUGACGGUACCCUAGGAAUAAGCACCGGCUAACUCCGUGCCAGCAGCCGCGGUAAUACGGAGGGUGCAAGCGUUAUCCGGAUUCACUGGGUUUAAAGGGUGCGUAGGUGGGUUUGUAAGUCAGUGGUGAAAUCUCUAAGCUUAACUUGGAAACUGCCAUUGAUACUAUAGAUCUUGAAUAUCCUGGAGGUGAACGGAAUAUGUCAUGUAGCGGUGAAAUGCUUAGAUAUGACAUAGAACACCAAUUGCGAAGGCAGUUCACUACGGGAUUAUUGACACUGAGGCACGAAAGCGUGGGGAUCAAACAGGAUUAGAUACCCUAGUAGUCC